RNAcentral lists this ribosomal RNA (294 nucleotides) under Leiopelma hochstetteri. RNAcentral's name for it is "partial 12S ribosomal RNA". It matches the Rfam family "Bacterial small subunit ribosomal RNA", at positions 885 to 1348 of the family's 1533-position model. The record is from RNAcentral. Lineage: Eukaryota; Metazoa; Chordata; Amphibia; Anura; Leiopelmatidae.
AGCUACAGCUUAAAACCCAAAGGACUUGGCGGUGCCCCAAACCCACCUAGAGGAGCCUGUUCUAUAAUCGAUAACCCCCGCUAAACCUCACCACUUAUUGCCAAUACCGCCUAUAUACCACCGUCGCCAGCCCACCCUGUGAAGGAUAUAAGUAGGCGCAAUGAUCAUCACCAAAACGUCAGGUCAAGGUGUAGCGUAUGAAGUGGGAAGAAAUGGGCUACAUUUUCUUACCCAAGAACAUACGAAAGAUAUUAUGAAAUACAAUCAGAAGGCGGAUUUAGUAGUAAAAGGAAC